GACGAACGCUGGCGGCGUGCUUAACACAUGCAAGUCGAACGGAAAGGCCCUGCUUUUGUGGGGUGCUCGAGUGGCGAACGGGUGAGUAACACGUGAGUAACCUGCCCUUGACUUUGGGAUAACUUCAGGAAACUGGGGCUAAUACCGGAUAGGAGCUCCUGCUGCAUGGUGGGGGUUGGAAAGUUUCGGCGGUUGGGGAUGGACCCGCGGCUUAUCAGCUUGUUGGUGGGGUAGUGGCUUACCAAGGCUUUGACGGGUAGCCGGCCUGAGAGGGUGACCGGCCACAUUGGGACUGAGAUACGGCCCAGACUCCUGCGGGAGGCAGCAGUGGGGAAUAUUGCACAAUGGGCGGAAGCCUGAUGCAGCAACGCCGCGUGCGGGAUGACGGCCUUCGGGUUGUAAACCGCUUUCGCCUGUGACGAAGCGUGAGUGACGGUAAUGGGUAAAGAAGCACCGGCUAACUACGUG
Molecule: ribosomal RNA, 468 nt
Filed under: uncultured bacterium
Lineage: Bacteria
Description: partial 16S ribosomal RNA
Rfam family: Bacterial small subunit ribosomal RNA
Source: RNAcentral